Molecule: ribosomal RNA, 567 nt
Filed under: Waltiozyma mucosa
Lineage: Eukaryota; Fungi; Ascomycota; Saccharomycetes; Phaffomycetales; Wickerhamomycetaceae
Description: eukaryotic LSU rRNA
Rfam family: Eukaryotic large subunit ribosomal RNA
Source: RNAcentral
AAACCAACAGGGAUUGCCUCAGUAACGGCGAGUGAAGCGGCAAAAGCUCAAAUUUGAAAUCUAGUACCUUUGGUGCUCGAGUUGUAAUUUGAAGAUUGUACUCUGGAGUUGGCCCUUGUCUAUGUUCCUUGGAACAGGACGUCAUAGAGGGUGAGAAUCCCGUCUGAUGGGGUGUCCAAUUCCAUGUAGAGUGCUAUCGAAGAGUCGAGUUGUUUGGGAAUGCAGCUCUAAGUGGGUGGUAAAUUCCAUCUAAAGCUAAAUAUUGGCGAGAGACCGAUAGCGAACAAGUACAGUGAUGGAAAGAUGAAAAGAACUUUGAAAAGAGAGUGAAAAAGUACGUGAAAUUGUUGAAAGGGAAGGUUAUUAGAUCAGACUUGGUGUUUUACGAUUAUCUUCCCUUCUUGGGUUGUGCACUCGUAUUUCACUGGGCCAGCAUCGAUUCGGAUGGCAAGAUAAUGACAGUUGAACGUGGCUCCUCGGAGUGUUAUAGCUUCUGUUGAUGUUGCCUAUCUGGAUCGAGGACUGCGUCUUUAUGACUAGGAUGCUGGCGUAAUGAUCUAAUAUCGC